RNAcentral lists this unclassified non-coding RNA (272 nucleotides) under plant metagenome. RNAcentral describes it as "partial contains small subunit ribosomal RNA, internal transcribed spacer 1, and 5.8S ribosomal RNA". The record is from RNAcentral.
UAUCCGUAGAUGAACCUGCGGAAGGAUCAUUAAUGAGUUGUCAUGGGGUUCGAUGCUGGCAGCCAGUUUUUGGAUGCAUGUGCUUGCCCUAACAAUCAUCUUCUUCCAAACACCUGUGCACAUUUUUGAGGGAGUCUUGAGUUGGUUGCCGCUCUUGGGUGAUUUUCUCACAUUCCCUUAAAUUAUUAUACGCUAUUAACAAUGUUGAACGUGCUCUGUGCCGCAAGGCCAUUAAUAUAAUACAACUUUUAACAACGGAUCUCUUGGCUCUC